Long non-coding RNA from Oncorhynchus tshawytscha (Chinook salmon), 1261 nucleotides. Lineage: Eukaryota; Metazoa; Chordata; Actinopteri; Salmoniformes; Salmonidae. The record is from Ensembl.
GGAAUGAGUAGGGAGGAGGGAGGAGAUGGAGAGAGGAGAGAGGAGAGAGGAGGGAGGAGAUAGGAGAGAGGAAGGAGGAGGAAAGGGGAGAUCAUGGAAGUGUCAUUAACACCAGAGACUGUGUGUGUCGGUUCAGUGCCUCUCCUCACUCAAGAUGCAGGUGAAAGGGGAGGAGGAAGGGAGGAGGGACAGAGCAAGACAGGGAGAGAGGGAGAUGCAGGUGGAAGGAGAGGAGGGACAGAGGACAACAGGGAGAGAGGGAGAUGCAGGUGAAAGAGGAGGAGGGACAGAGGAAGACAGGGAGAGAGGGAGAUGAAGGUGAAAGAGGAGGAGGGACAGAGGAAGACAGGGAGAGAGGGAGAUGAAGCUGAAAGAGGAGGAGUGACAGAGGAAGACAGGGAGAGAGGGACAGAGGAAGAGGGAGAGAGGGACAGAGGAAGACAGGGAGAGAGGGACAGAGGAAGACAGGGAGAGAGGGACAGAGGAAGACAGGGAGAGAGGGAGAUGAAGCUGAAAGAGGAGGAGUGACAGAGGAAGACAGGGAGAGUGGGACAGAGGAAGACAGGGAGAGAGGGAGAUGAAGCUGAAAGAGGAGGGGUGUGCCCUGUGGCCAAGGCGAGGCAAGCUGUGCGGCUUGGCGUCUCUUACAACAGCUUUGUUAGUGCUGCAGUAACUGUUACCAGGAGACCUCGUCUGCCUCUCAGAUGGCUCCCUAUCUCCAUAGGGCUCUGGUCCAAAGUAGUGCACCAAAUAGGGAAUACGGUGCCAUAGGGCUCUGGUCCAAAGUAGUGCACCAAAUAGGGAAUAGGGUGUAAUUUGGGACCCUUACACUGUCUCACAGAUGGAUCCAAUGUGUUUCUGUCUGUCUGCCAGUCCAAUGUUUAAAGUCUUGUUGUUGCUGAAAUCGAUCGAAAAUGUCCCUCUGUGAGUAUCAGAAAUUACACGCGUGCAUAUUUAUUACAAAAUGUGUCCCGAAUGGCUGUGAUUUGUUUCGGGAAAUAUAUAUAUAUUUUUCUUGUAUGUUUUUUGACGAAAACCUCGGACUGUCUAUUGCUUCACACCAUGUGGGUUGGCUGAGUUCACAAGGCGUCUCGUUUUCACCAUUCUGCAUGAGAGCUGAGCCAAUCACUGAGGCUUCUCAAAAUGGCACCCUAUUCCCUAUAUAGUGGUACUACUAUAGACCAGAGCCCUAUUCCCUAUAUAGUGGUACUACUAUAGACCAGAGCCCUAUUCCCUAUAUAGUGGUACUACUAUAGACCAG